GAAGAUGAACUCGACCAGGUUGUCUCAUUCUUGUUUAAAGUCAUCAAGGAAACACCAGGAGCAAGGCAGCGAACAGACUGGGUCGCCUUCAUUUUUGAUGUCCUUUUGCCAGAGGUGACAGUUGCAGUUCUGGCCGAAAGACAUCAACUGACGGUAUCAGAGGCUUUAGAAAGGUUCAGAAGGGGUCCACAAUAUGAACCAUGUGAGAUGAAAAUGUUGGCAAACAACAUGAUGAAAAACCUGUCGGAGGAGGGAGCCGUAAGGCUGAAAGCUUUUGAAAAAAAAAUGAAAACAGCCCUCUCCUCUGAGGCAUUCCUCCAGAGACUUUAGAUUUUUCAUCCUACUGUAAUGGUUAUGGCCCUUUUUCUCCCCUUUUCCUUCUCUUCCCCAUUAUUGUCCUUUGUGUAUGUUUUUGGCUUGUGUGUCUCUGCCAGCCUUAGUCAGUUAGUCAAUUAGUCAAUUCCACUCACCUGUUCCCUCAACCAUUUAAACCCUCUGCUUCCCUCUGUCUUUGCCGGUUUGUUGUUUGCCUUCAUCACACGCUGCCACAGCCUCUGUUCCCCACCUCUGGACUACGUGUGUUUUUGGACCCUUGCUGCUUUUUCCCCUUCAUGGAUUUUCCCCCUUGGACUCUGCCUUUGGAUUACCUCAGUUUGUGUUUGCUCCUUUGUUUGAGUUCCUCUGUUGUGUGAGUACUUCUCUGCUUUGUUGUAUCAAGCCUUGUUGCGCUAUAGCAUUAGUUUGGUUUUUGUCCUGCUGCCCCGGUUCUAGUCGCUGUAGUUGUUUUUGGAGUUUUUGUUAAAUAAAACCCUUUUUCAUUACCACCUUUUGCCUGUCUGUUUGCCUGCGCUUGGGUUCUCUACCCCCAAAUCCUAACACCUACACACACUCGUACAUCACUACUUUGUUGUGCUCUAUAUUUUUAUCCAAAAAAGUUUGCUUGUUUAUUUGUCUUUUGGAUGAUAGAUUUCAUUUUUCAAAUUAGAAUGUUGACAGGAGCAUGUGCCAGUGGAUGCAAUGAGCUCUUAGUCAACUUUGUUUCUCAGCAGAGCAACACAUAUUAAAAGCGUGAUGAUUCACUUCAAUUGUCAUGGUUUUAAAGCUCUGGCUGACUAUCAUUCUUCAGCAGUAAAUGAAUGUAGUUACCUGACUAUGAAAUUCAAAAGCAGUCUUGUGUAUGUUGUUGACUGUUCACAUCAUCCAACCAAAUAAAGUCUGACACAAAAUGUUA
This is a long non-coding RNA of Acanthochromis polyacanthus (spiny chromis), 1231 nucleotides long. RefSeq lists it as uncharacterized. NCBI's taxonomy places the organism in Eukaryota, Metazoa, Chordata, Actinopteri, Pomacentridae. The record is from RefSeq and is a predicted model, not a curated record. The transcript has 3 exons.